GGGCCCGCACAAGCGGUGGAGCAUGUGGUUUAAUUCGAUGAUACGCGAGGAACCUUACCAGGGCUUAAAUGUAAGUUGCAUAAAUCAGAGAUGAUUUUUUCUUCGGACUACUUACAAGGUGCUGCAUGGUUGUCGUCAGCUCGUGCCGUGAGGUGUCAGGUUAAGUCCUAUAACGAGCGCAACCCCUGUCGUUAGUUGCCAUCAAGUAAUGUUGGGUACUCUAGCGAGACUGCCGGUGCAAACCGAGAGGAAGGUGGGGAUGACGUCAAAUCAUCACGGCCCUUACGUCCUGGGCUACACACGUGCUACAAUGGCCGGUACAGAGAGCAGCCACUACGCGAGUAGGAGCGAAUCUUCAAAACCGGUCUCAGUUCGGAUCGCAGUCUGCAACUCGACUGCGUGAAGCUGGAAUCGCUAGUAAUCGG
RNAcentral lists this ribosomal RNA (425 nucleotides) under uncultured bacterium. RNAcentral's name for it is "bacterial SSU rRNA". It matches the Rfam family "Bacterial small subunit ribosomal RNA", at positions 917 to 1345 of the family's 1533-position model. The record is from RNAcentral.